This 362-nucleotide long non-coding RNA is filed under the name Elaeis guineensis (African oil palm). Its description in RNAcentral is "long non-coding RNA (EGUI_LNC030762)". The record is from RNAcentral. Lineage: Eukaryota; Viridiplantae; Streptophyta; Magnoliopsida; Arecales; Arecaceae.
CCGAUAUUCGUGAGCCUCCUAGCGUCAAAACACCGCUCGAUCGGCGACCUCUCGAUGCUUGUCAACCUCCAAGAUCCGUUCGGCAUGUGCAUCCUUGUGUCCAUGGUCUCGAGCUUUGCCGAAACUGUAGGCCGUGCCUCCCCCAUGCGCCCGUUGCGUGCCUGGUCGGUGCCUCUCGAAGCCAAGGCUGACAGCUCGAUCCUCACCAAGUUCCCCAGUAUUUUCGUGUGCCUCCUACAGCCAAGAUCGAUGGAUCGACAAUCACCUGGGUCUGUCACACUCCCACAUGCAUGCCUAGCUCCAAACACCCCAGAUCGAUUAGUUCCCGACGUCAACUCUCAAGACCAGCUGGCGCCAAACAC